Molecule: ribosomal RNA, 670 nt
Filed under: uncultured bacterium
Lineage: Bacteria
Description: bacterial SSU rRNA
Rfam family: Bacterial small subunit ribosomal RNA
Source: RNAcentral
UCGAACGGGCCGCAAGGCCAGUGGCGGAAGGGUGAGUAAGGCGACGGCAACCAACCCCGGGCUUGGGCAUAGCCGGCGGAAACGCCGGGUAAUUCCCAGCGACGUCCAUGGGGGGCAUCCCCCGAGGACCAAAGGUGCGAUUCCGGCACGGGACGGGCCGUCGUGGUAUUAGGUCGUUGGUGGGGUCACGGCCCACCAAGCCGAUGAUGCCUACCGGGCGUGAGAGCGUGGCCCGGCACACUGGGACUGAGACACUGCCCAGACACCUACGGGUGGCUGCAGUCGAGAAUCUUCGGCAAUGGGCGCAAGCCUGACCGAGCGACGCCGCGUGGAGGACGAAGGCCUUCGGGUUGUAAACUCCUGUCGAGGGGGAUGAAGGGGCGGCGAAGAGCCGUCCUUGACAGAUCCCUGGAGGAAGCACGGGCUAAGUUCGUGCCAGCAGCCGCGGUAAGACGAACCGUGCGAACGUUAUUCGGAUUCACUGGGCUUAAAGCGCGUGUAGGCGGCCCGGCACGUCGGUCGUUGAAAGCCCCCGGCUCAACCGGGGAAUCGGCGCCGAUACGGCCGAGCUGGAGGGGUGUAGGGGGGCCUGGAACUUCCGGUGGAGCGGUGAUAUGCGUUGAGAUCGGAAGGAACGCCCGAGCGAAAGCGAUGCCCUGGACACUUACUU